This 1312-nucleotide ribosomal RNA is filed under the name metagenome. RNAcentral describes it as "SSU rRNA". It matches the Rfam family "Eukaryotic small subunit ribosomal RNA", at positions 477 to 1793 of the family's 1831-position model. The record is from RNAcentral.
UAUCAAUAUCAUGCUCUCAAUGGGUAUGAUAAUUGGAAUGAGUACAACCUAAAAUCCUUAACGAGGAUCAAUUGGAGGGCAAGUCUGGUGCCAGCAGCCGCGGUAAUACCAGCUCCAAUAGCGUAUGCUAAAGUUGUUGCAGUUAAAAGGCUCGUAGUCGAACCUAUGAUCCAGCGAACCUCGCCCAAUCUCUAGUAGGUUGCGAGCGAGCCGUGCGCGGAUCAUUCUUCUGGAGAACUUCAUCACCCUUGAUUGGGUUUUUUUGAUGUUGCUAUUCAGAUCGUUUACUGUGAGAAAAUCAGAGUGUUCAAAGCAGGCUUUAAUGCUUGAAUGGUUCAGCAUGGAAUAAUAAGAUAAGACUUCGGUUUUGUGUUGUUGGCUCUUUACGAACCAAAGUAAUGAUUGAAAGGGAUAGUUGGGGGUGCUAGUAUUGUAUGGUCAGCGGUGAAAUGCGAGGACCCAUAUAAGACUAACUUAUGCGAAAGCAUUCACCAAGGAUAUCUUCUUUGAUCAAGAACGAAAGUUGGGGGAUCGAAGACGAUCAGAUACCGUCGUAGUCUCAACCAUAAACUAUGCCAACUGAGGAUUGGCAGACGUUGUUAUAUGACCCUGUCAGAACUCUAUGAGAAAUCAAAGUCUCUGGGUUCUGGGGGGAGUAUGGUCGCAAGGCUGAAACUUAAAGGAAUUGACGGAAGGGCACCACCAGGAGUGGAGCCUGCGGCUUAAUUUGAUUCAACACGGGAAAACUUACCAGGUCCAGACAUAGUAAGGAUUGACAGAUUGAAGAUCUUUCUUGAUUCUAUGGAUAGUGGUGCAUGGCCGUUCUUAGUUGGUGGAGCGAUUUGUCUGGUUAAUUCCGUUAACGAACGAGACCUCAGCCUACUAAUUAGUUUGCGGAAUGGCGACAUUGCGUAAAUCUUCUUAGAGGGACUAUCAGGUAAGCAACUGAUGGAAGUAUGAGGCAAUAACAGGUCUGUGAUGCCCUUAGAUGUUCUGGGCCGCACGCGCGCUACACUGAUACAAUCAACGAGUUUUAUUUCUCCUUUGCCGAAAGGCAUGGGUAACCUUGUGAAAUUGUAUCGUGAUAGGGCUUGACGAUUGUAAUUAUUUGUCACAAACGAGGAAUUCCUAGUAAGCGCAAGUCAUCAACUUGCACUGAUUACGUCCCUGCCCUUUGUACACACCGCCCGUCGCUCCUACCGAUUGAAUGUUAAGGCGAACCCUCCAGAGUCGCGGACGAGUCUGGGCAACCUUUCUCGACCAACCGGUGAAGUUGUGUAAGCCUUGACAUUUAGAGGAAGGAAAAGUCGUA